Molecule: small nuclear RNA, 105 nt
Organism: Zalophus californianus (California sea lion)
Lineage: Eukaryota; Metazoa; Chordata; Mammalia; Carnivora; Otariidae
Source: Ensembl
GUGCUCACUUCAGCAGCACAUACACUAAAAUUGGAAUAACAGAGAAGAUUAAUAUGGCUCCUGCACAAGGAUUAUAUGCAAAUUCAUGAAGUGUUCCAUAUUUAA